CGUAGGCGGCCAAGCAAGUCCUGGGUGAAAUCCCUCGGCUCAACCGAGGAACUGCCUCGGAAACUGCAUGGCUUGAGGCCGGGAGAGGGUAGCGGAAUUCCCAGUGUAGCGGUGAAAUGCGUAGAUAUUGGGAGGAACACCGGUGGCGAAGGCGGCUACCUGGACCGGUUCUGACGCUGAUGCGCGAAAGCGUGGGGAAGCAAACA
Molecule: ribosomal RNA, 206 nt
Filed under: uncultured bacterium
Lineage: Bacteria
Description: partial 16S ribosomal RNA
Rfam family: Bacterial small subunit ribosomal RNA
Source: RNAcentral